GCUUAAAUAGCUUAUAAAGAGCAUAACAUUGAAGAUGUUAGGGAGACCCUUGGGUCUUUGGGCA
This 64-nucleotide transfer RNA is filed under the name unidentified. RNAcentral describes it as "Epeorus gibbus tRNA-Phe". The record is from RNAcentral.